GACGAACGCUGGCGGCGUGCUUAACACAUGCAAGUCGAACGGAAAGGCCCUGCUUUUGUGGGGUGCGCGAGUGGCGAACGGGUGAGUAACACGGGAGUAACCUGCCCUUGACUUGGGGAUAACUUCAGGAAACUGGGGCUAAUACCGGAUAGGAGCUCCUGCUGCAUGGUGGGGGUUGGAAAGUUUCGGCGGUUGGGGAUGGACUCGCGGCUUAUCAGCUUGUUGGUGGGGUAGUGGCUUACCAAGGCUUUGACGGGUAGCCGGCCUGGGAGGGUGACCGGCCCCCUUGGGCCUGCGGUACGGCGCAGACUCCUACGGGAGGCAGCAGUGGGGAAUAUUGCACAAUGGGCGGAAGCCUGAUGCAGCAACGCCGCGUGCGGGAUGACGGCCUUCGGGUUGUAAACCGCUUUCGCCUGUGACGAAGCGUGAGUGACGGUAACGGGUAAAGAAGCACCGGCUAACUACGUG
This 468-nucleotide ribosomal RNA is filed under the name uncultured bacterium. RNAcentral describes it as "partial 16S ribosomal RNA". It matches the Rfam family "Bacterial small subunit ribosomal RNA", at positions 28 to 507 of the family's 1533-position model. The record is from RNAcentral.